GACGUAGGGAGCGAGCGUUGCCCGGAUUCAUUGGGCGUAAAGAGCGCGUAGGCGGCCGUGCAAGUCGGUUGUGAAAUCCCGGGGCUCAACCCCGGGACUGCGUCCGAUACUGCACGGCUCGAGGCAGGUAGGGGAGAGUGGAAUUCCCGGUGUAGCGGUGAAAUGCGCAGAUAUCGGGAGGAACACCGGUGGCGAAGGCGGCUCUCUGGACCUGUCCUGACGCUGAGGCGCGAAAGCUAGGGGAGCGAACAGG
Molecule: ribosomal RNA, 253 nt
Filed under: uncultured bacterium
Lineage: Bacteria
Description: partial 16S ribosomal RNA
Rfam family: Bacterial small subunit ribosomal RNA
Source: RNAcentral